GGAGAGGUGACCGAGUUGGCUUAAGGUGCGCGCCUGCUAAGCGUGUGUUCUGAGAAAUUGGGACCCAGGGUUCGAAUCCCUGCCUCUCCGCCA
This 93-nucleotide transfer RNA is filed under the name Candidatus Cloacimonadota bacterium. Its description in RNAcentral is "tRNA-Ser". It matches the Rfam family "tRNA". Rfam says of the family: Transfer RNA (tRNA) molecules are approximately 80 nucleotides in length. Their secondary structure includes four short double-helical elements and three loops (D, anti-codon, and T loops). Lineage: Bacteria; Pseudomonadati; Candidatus Cloacimonadota. RNAcentral also lists the same sequence under 1 other name. The record is from RNAcentral.